ACAAUAUCUGAGCUACAUCUGUUCAUCCCAAACCAACAGCCCGCACGUUGAAGAGAAAUGGAUAAGAAAUUUGAAGUUCUGAAUCAUUCAAUGGUAAUUUUCUUUUGAAAGCAGGGACCUCUUUUUUUUUUUUCUUUUUUCAAGUGAGCUCUUGUCUCACAAGAUCAAUAUAAUAUAUAUCUUAGCCUGAUUGAGAACAGGCAAACACACAAUGACCAUUGUUUUGUUUCCAAAGGAAUCAAUCCAAUCGUCGCCGCGCAGUUAAAAUUGACCAUCCUGAACACCUGCUGGCUGACCUCAUAAACGGAUUGGGAUAUGUAUGGCAAUAUGGAAGAAGCGACAAAACGCACAAGAAGGUCAAAUAAGAGGAAGGGACGGACACAAUCUAUGGUUAUGAUACAACAUGUAAAAAAAAAAAAAAAAAAAAAAAAAAAAAAUCGAUCCUGUUCUAUACAAAAGAAAACCAGAUUCGACGAACUUGUGCCAUUUCAGCGCGUAUUAUUAUUACCCUCCGAGAAAAC
RNAcentral lists this small RNA (521 nucleotides) under Histoplasma capsulatum var. duboisii H88. RNAcentral's name for it is "Histoplasma capsulatum H88 hypothetical RNA". The record is from RNAcentral. Lineage: Eukaryota; Fungi; Ascomycota; Eurotiomycetes; Onygenales; Ajellomycetaceae.